This 554-nucleotide ribosomal RNA is filed under the name uncultured Gemmatimonas sp. Its description in RNAcentral is "bacterial SSU rRNA". It matches the Rfam family "Bacterial small subunit ribosomal RNA", at positions 363 to 916 of the family's 1533-position model. Lineage: Bacteria; Pseudomonadati; Gemmatimonadota; Gemmatimonadia; Gemmatimonadales; Gemmatimonadaceae. The record is from RNAcentral.
AUUGCGCAAUGGCCGAAAGGCUGACGCAGCGACGCCGCGUGGGGGAUGAAGCAUUUCGGUGUGUAAACCCCUGUUGCCCGGGACGAACAAGCGAUUUUGAUCGCUCUGACGGUACCGGGUGAGGAAGCACCGGCUAACUCCGUGCCAGCAGCCGCGGUAAUACGGAGGGUGCGAGCGUUGUCCGGAAUCACUGGGCGUAAAGGGCGCGUAGGCGGUCUGCUAAGCGUGUGGUGAAAGCUCGGGGCUCAACCCCGAGUCUGCCAUGCGAACUGGUGGACUAGAGCACUGUAGAGGCGAGUGGAAUUCCGGGUGUAGCGGUGGAAUGCGUAGAGAUCCGGAAGAACACCGGUGGCGAAGGCGGCUCGCUGGGCAGUAGCUGACGCUGAGGCGCGAUAGCGUGGGGAGCAAACAGGAUUAGAUACCCUGGUAGUCCACGCCGUAAACGAUGGGGACUAGGUGCUUGGGGGAGCGACCCCUCGAGUGCCGGCGCUAACGCAUUAAGUCCCCCGCCUGGGGAGUACGGCCGCAAGGCUGAAACUCAAAGGAAUUGACGG